RNAcentral lists this transfer-messenger RNA (350 nucleotides) under Oscillospiraceae. RNAcentral describes it as "Limivicinus sp002320035 Standard tmRNA". It matches the Rfam family "transfer-messenger RNA". Rfam says of the family: Bacterial tmRNA, also known as 10Sa RNA or SsrA, is named for its dual tRNA and mRNA-like properties. Its role is to liberate the mRNA from a stalled ribosome. The record is from RNAcentral. Lineage: Bacteria; Bacillati; Bacillota; Clostridia; Eubacteriales. RNAcentral also lists the same sequence under 2 other names.
GGGGAUGUAACGGUUUCGACGGGGGUGCGGAGGCAGGAACAGCGGGCGGAUGCGCCUACCAUCCAUAAAAUGGGCAUCUUUUAUAAAUUAAAGAACAACGAUAAUACUGUUCUUCUCGCUGCUUAAUUAGCGAGCGUUCCCCCCGGGAGGACCACGGCCCGGGAUGGAGCGUCGAUCAGUGGUGAACGCGAGCCGGCAAAGCUUUGAGCCGGCCGUGAACAAUGAAGCUACCAAGUCCCCGAGCGUGGCGGCCCGCGCCGGGACAAGGGAAUGGAAACGACCGCCUGCGCCCGGAGAAAUUCCUGUCAAAGCACUUUCGGACGGGGGUUCAACUCCCCCCAUCUCCACCA